AUUGAACGCUGGCGGCAGGCCUAACACAUGCAAGUCGAGCGGAUGAAGGGAGCUUGCUCCUGGAUUCAGCGGCGGACGGGUGAGUAAUGCCUAGGAAUCUGCCUGGUAGUGGGGGAUAACGUCCGGAAACGGGCGCUAAUACCGCAUACGUCCUGAGGGAGAAAGUGGGGGAUCUUCGGACCUCACGCUAUCAGAUGAGCCUAGGUCGGAUUAGCUAGUUGGUGGGGUAAAGGCCUACCAAGGCGACGAUCCGUAACUGGUCUGAGAGGAUGAUCAGUCACACUGGAACUGAGACACGGUCCAGACUCCUACGGGAGGCAGCAGUGGGGAAUAUUGGACAAUGGGCGAAAGCCUGAUCCAGCCAUGCCGCGUGUGUGAAGAAGGUCUUCGGAUUAUAAAGCACUUUAAGUUGGGAGGAAGGGCAGUAAGUUAAUACCUUGCUGUUUUGACGUUACCAACAGAAUAAGCACCGGCUAACUCCGUG
This 484-nucleotide ribosomal RNA is filed under the name uncultured bacterium. RNAcentral describes it as "partial 16S ribosomal RNA". It matches the Rfam family "Bacterial small subunit ribosomal RNA", at positions 30 to 507 of the family's 1533-position model. The record is from RNAcentral.